Molecule: ribosomal RNA, 253 nt
Filed under: uncultured bacterium
Lineage: Bacteria
Description: partial 16S ribosomal RNA
Rfam family: Bacterial small subunit ribosomal RNA
Source: RNAcentral
UACGGGGGGGGCAAGCGUUGUUCGGAAUUACUGGGCGUAAAGCGCACGUAGGCGGAUAUUUAAGUCAGGGGUGAAAUCCCAGAGCUCAACUCUGGAACUGCCUUUGAUACUGGGUAUCUCGAGUAUGGAAGAGGUGAGUGGAAUUCCGAGUGUAGAGGUGAAAUUCGUAGAUAUUCGGAGGAACACCAGUGGCGAAGGCGGCUCACUGGUCCAUUACUGACGCUGAGGUGCGAAAGCGUGGGGAGCAAACAGG